RNAcentral lists this ribosomal RNA (424 nucleotides) under uncultured bacterium. RNAcentral's name for it is "bacterial SSU rRNA". It matches the Rfam family "Bacterial small subunit ribosomal RNA", at positions 917 to 1344 of the family's 1533-position model. The record is from RNAcentral.
GGGCCCGCACAAGCGGUGGAGCAUGUGGUUUAAUUCGAUGAUACGCGAGGAACCUUACCAGGGCUUAAAUGCAGUCUGACAGGUCUGGAAACAGACUUUUCUUCGGACAGAUUGCAAGGUGCUGCAUGGUUGUCGUCAGCUCGUGCCGUGAGGUGUCAGGUUAAGUCCUAUAACGAGCGCAACCCCUGUGGUUAGUUGCCAGCGAGUCAUGUCGGGAACUCUAGCCAGACUGCCGGUGCAAACCGCGAGGAAGGUGGGGAUGACGUCAAAUCAUCACGGCCCUUACGUCCUGGGCCACACACGUGCUACAAUGGUAGGGACAGAGGGCAGCUACCCCGCGAGGGGAUGCGAAUCUUCAAACCCUAUCACAGUUCGGAUCGCAGUCUGCAACUCGACUGCGUGAAGCUGGAAUCGCUAGUAAUCG